Molecule: ribosomal RNA, 1086 nt
Filed under: Triticum aestivum (bread wheat)
Lineage: Eukaryota; Viridiplantae; Streptophyta; Magnoliopsida; Poales; Poaceae
Description: partial small subunit ribosomal RNA
Source: RNAcentral
AUGGAGAGACUUGUUAAUGUUCAUUACAUUGACAAGGAGGCAUUCUUGAGUAACAAUGCCGGCACGGGUGAGGAACCAUUGGUUUUUGAUACAAGCCCUAGCUAUGAGGAUGUUGUUGCAAAAGUGAGACAAGUUUUGAAGUGGAUGGACACCAAUGUUGAUGUUAAGUUAAUAGGAAGGUAUGAUGUUGGAGUUGGAGCCAAAUCUCGCUUGAAAAGUAUGCCUAUCACCUCGGAUUUGCAUUGGGAUGUAUGCAAGGAAAAAGUAUCCCAAUCGGAAGACAAGUCACUUGAAUUGUUGGCCACCAAGGUUGAAUCUCCUCGGUUUACCUUUGAUUUGAACCGGCAUGUCUCUUUCCUAAUGGAUGACAUGAGCGAGAGGACAAUGGUGCCACUUGUUGAGCAUAGCGUUGUGGUUGAUGCCCCCAAUGUUUAUCCCCCACCACAUCCCCGUGUACCAUCUAUCAAAGCAAAUGAGGUUGAGUUGUAUGCCCCCAAUGCUUCUAGCCAACCACCAACUAGCCAAGCAAAUGAAGUUGAGGUGAUUGCUAGUGACGGAGUAAUUCAAGAGGAUGAAGAUGCUUAUGAUGACGACGAAGAGCAAGAGGAAGGGUUUCAUGGUAAUGAUGUUGGUGACUUGGAUGCGUACAUAGCGCAAAAGGACAUGGAUCGUGACUUGCCUUUUAGGCGUCAAUAUGCGUAUGACUCGGAUGACGAGGAUCCAGUUGAACAGUUGGACGAGGAUGGAUUCACAAAGGAGGAGAACCAAAUCCACUUUGAGCUGACGGGCUUACAAAAAAGAACUCACUUGUUUAAAGAUCUCAGCCUUGCCCAUAAAGCUGUUGUUGACGGUGGAAUGAGAAUGACGGCGAUUGAGCCAACACCAUGCCCGGAUCCAGGAGAACCAAGGGUGGAGAAUGAGGACGAGAAUGCUUAUUUGAAGAAAGGAGUGAAGUUUCUAAGCUUGCCUAUGCUGAAGUUUUGGUUGGCUGACUAUGCGAUUCGAAACCAUAGGCCAUUUUAUGUUGAGCACUCCAACAUGAAGUUGCGUUACACCGUGGUGUGUGAGCAAGACGGAUGCCCAUGA